AGCGGCGUACGGGUGAGUAAUGCAUCGGAACGUGUCCUCUUGUGGGGGAUAACCAGUCGAAAGACUGGCUAAUACCGCAUGAGAUCGCAAGAUGAAAGCAGGGGACCCGCAAGGGCCUUGCGCGAGAGGAGCGGCCGAUACCCGAUUAGCUAGUUGGCGGGGUAAAAGCCCACCAAGGCGACGAUCGGUAGCUGGUCUGAGAGGACGACCAGCCACACUGGGACUGAGACACGGCCCAGACUCCUACGGGAGGCAGCAGUGGGGAAUUUUGGACAAUGGGGGCAACCCUGAUCCAGCCAUGCCGCGUGUGUGAAGAAGGCCUUCGGGUUGUAAAGCACUUUCGGACGGAACGAAAUCGCACGAUCUAAUAAGUCGUGUGGAUGACGGUACCGUAAGAAGAAGCACCGGCUAACUACGUGCCAGCAGCCGCGGUAAUACGUAGGGUGCGAGCGUUAAUCGGAAUUACUGGGCGUAAAGUGCGCGCAGGCGGCCAUGCAAGUCGAGUGUGAAAGCCCCGGGCUUAACUUGGGAAUUGCGCUCGAAACUACGUGGCUGGAGUGUGGCAGAGGAAGGUGGAAUUCCACGUGUAGCGGUGAAAU
Molecule: ribosomal RNA, 599 nt
Filed under: uncultured bacterium
Lineage: Bacteria
Description: bacterial SSU rRNA
Rfam family: Bacterial small subunit ribosomal RNA
Source: RNAcentral